RNAcentral lists this small nuclear RNA (322 nucleotides) under Jaculus jaculus (lesser Egyptian jerboa). RNAcentral describes it as "7SK RNA (ENSJJAG00000003379.1)". It matches the Rfam family "7SK RNA". Rfam says of the family: 7SK was discovered as an abundant small nuclear RNA in the mid-70s but a possible function has only recently been suggested. Two independent studies have found that 7SK RNA binds the CDK9/cyclin T complex (known as elongation factor P-TEFb). P-TEFb activates transcription by phosphorylating the C-terminal domain of RNA polymerase II. The record is from RNAcentral. Lineage: Eukaryota; Metazoa; Chordata; Mammalia; Rodentia; Dipodidae.
GCAUGUGAGGGUAACUUGAUUGUGGCAUCUGUAACCCCGUUGAUCAUCAGGGUUGGUUUGGCUGAUCUGGUUGGCUAGCCAGGUGUACCCUACCUCCCUCACUCUUACAUGCAUACUCCUCUCUAAUCUGCAUGCUCAUUUUAGAGACUACCUUCCCUGAAUAGAGAAAAACUGUCUUUUUGUUCAAUGACAUAUGAGUAUCUGCAUUCUGCAAAUAGAACCUCAAAACAAGUUCUUAAUAAACUUAACUCUAUAUAGGCUAAUAAUUAAAAAAGAAAGAAAGAAAAAGAGGAUGUGUUCUCUUGAGGAAAAGGCCUUGUCC